Molecule: transfer RNA, 72 nt
Filed under: Loxodonta africana (African savanna elephant)
Lineage: Eukaryota; Metazoa; Chordata; Mammalia; Proboscidea; Elephantidae
Rfam family: tRNA
About the family: Transfer RNA (tRNA) molecules are approximately 80 nucleotides in length. Their secondary structure includes four short double-helical elements and three loops (D, anti-codon, and T loops).
Source: Rfam by way of RNAcentral
UCCUGGGUGGUGAAAAUGGUUAACACGUUUGACUGCAAAUCAAGAGACUGGAUGUUCAAGUCCACCCAGAGG